Molecule: long non-coding RNA, 1986 nt
Organism: Osmia lignaria (orchard mason bee)
Lineage: Eukaryota; Metazoa; Arthropoda; Insecta; Hymenoptera; Megachilidae
Source: RefSeq, a predicted model, not a curated record
AUAUUAUUUUGGAAAAAGCAUUCUUUCCAAGGUUUCUAAUUUAUAAUAUAUAUAUUAAAAUUGUUGAAAUGCAAGUAACAUGUACAAUUAUUAUUUUUCUAGAUGAAGAACGUUUCCAUGAAGAUCUGAAGCGAGGCUUUUCAUGUGAUUCUUAACCGAAGCAAUAACUGCAAGGAUCUCCUUGAGGAUCUCGAGAUCGAUUCCGACUAUUCUUUGCAGACUCGCUAGGAGAUCGUGUUCUAGCUUUUCUAUCGGUUCACGGCAUUACUGUUUGUUUAUUUUAAGUCCCAGGCGUAUCUUGUUUCGGAACCAGACCCAGCUGACCGCAACCCGGCAUCGUUUUCUCGUUUUAUUCUCUUGCGUUACGCUUGCGUCUCGUUGGUGCGAAUUAAUCGUGAAAAAUCAAACUAACCAGUCGUUCUGAUAUGUUUCUUUUUAAUUCACGCAAACACCUCCGUUGACCGCUAAUUAUCAGGUGCUAAAUGAAAUCUAUAUUUACGUUUCAUCAUUUUAUAAAUUAAUUGAACCAUCAGGCUUGGCGUAAAUAUUAUUUAUAAAAUAAAUAAUUUCAGGUUGAUUCAACGGUGGAAUGGUUUCAUUUGAAGCGCGUCAGGACGCCUCGUGCCGCUAGCCUCGCAUCGAAAUCCCCAAGCCACCCUCGACAAACGAUGCUGCUGCAAAUUCUAUAAUUCCAGAUCCAUCUCGGUGACCCAAUACCAAGGAUAUGGCGUGACAAACAUGUCCUUUCCAGUUAAAAAAAAAGAAUCUCCUUAAGGAAGCCCGUAGGAAUCGUAUUCCGGUCACCAGGCACACACGCACACGGGGGAUCGUCGAUGGAUCCCGGAAGCGGAGGAAUAAUCAACGGCGAUCGCGCACUAGGACCGCGACGAGUCGACGCCGAGGGUCGCGGCGGGUCUCACCCUGAUGGAUCUACCAGGACGACGUAAACUACGCGCGGAAUGGUGAAAGACGUAUGGAAAUGGAAGGGAAGAAAAGACGAACGAGUAGCACAGAAGGUUUCCAACGGCAUGGGACUUCGGCCACGACUGAUCGAGUGUCCGAGGGGGUAGCAUUGAAUACAAUGGCUCAAUUAUGAAGAAGAAUUUUCUUGUUUUACUUUUGCUGGAAUCUGAAGAGGGAACCUGCGUGUAUCAAGCGUCAGUUUAGUAAGUUGCGUAUCAAAGAAACUGCAAGCAAUUUUACCAAGUGAUUUCGAUUGAAUAGUGUCUGAAAUACCCGGAUCUGUUCCCGUCCCCUUCCUCGGGACGUUCAAAGAACCCCCUCCCUCUUCACGUUCUUUUGGUUCGAGCAAAAUGUUCCCGUAUGACGGGGAACAACGAUGAGACGAUGCUCUUGUACCCGGUUCUCCCCCCCCCCCCUCUUUUUCGCCUAAUGUUCUUACUCCCCCUGAAUCUCACCAGCACCCCGCUUCAAUACUAAGCUUGGCAAUAAACUUUCUUUGUUUUUGCUCGCUCCUUUCAAUCUGUCGCGUACCCCGUUCAUUGUUAACCCGAUUCGAGGUAAUUAACUUCUCUGUUUGUUGCAGCUUUUGAAACGCGAACGCGGUAAGGAUUAGCAUUCGAGGAAUUUCUUCAUUUGAUCUAUUUAAUCUCUGGCUUUGAAAUUCCACCGACUUCCGGCUGUAUCAAGGAAGUAUUAUUUCUUCUUGUUCCCUUCAAAGGAAUAUUUUACAUUUUCUUCAGCUUCUCUGGGCAAGGAAUUUUUAUUGAGUUUAAGGGUAGUUUUAUUGUUUCAAUGAAAAUGAAUAAGGAAAGUAUUUUUAUUUUAUUACAGUUGAUCUGAAUGUUGAAAAGUGGGUAGUAAAAAUUAGCAAGAAAGUAUUCAAUCCCUGGCUAUUGAAUUAGGACUAGGGAAAAUUGAAAAAUUUCCAAUAUAGGGAAAAUUAUCUUACAAGGGGAACUACCCAAGUGUUACACUCACUUAUUAAUGAAACUUUGCCAGCUUGUAGAGCUCGUCGAGCUGAAC